GCCCACAUAGCUCAGUAGGUAGAGCACGUUCUUGGUAAGAACGGGGUCAUCAGUUCGAAUCUGAUUGUGGGCUCCA
Molecule: transfer RNA, 76 nt
Filed under: Dehalococcoides mccartyi
Lineage: Bacteria; Bacillati; Chloroflexota; Dehalococcoidia; Dehalococcoidales; Dehalococcoidaceae
Also listed under: 16 other names
Description: tRNA-Thr
Rfam family: tRNA
About the family: Transfer RNA (tRNA) molecules are approximately 80 nucleotides in length. Their secondary structure includes four short double-helical elements and three loops (D, anti-codon, and T loops).
Source: RNAcentral